AUGUGGGUCUCGUGCAAUAUAGUCCCGUGAACCCUGUCAGGUCCGGAAGGAAGCAGCAGUAAGCGGAUUUCUGUAUGUGCCGCGGGGGUGCCUACCCCGA
This 100-nucleotide signal recognition particle RNA is filed under the name Clostridiaceae bacterium. RNAcentral describes it as "signal recognition particle sRNA small type". It matches the Rfam family "Bacterial small signal recognition particle RNA". From Rfam's summary of the family: The signal recognition particle (SRP) is a universally conserved ribonucleoprotein involved in the co-translational targeting of proteins to membranes. Archaeal SRP consists of a 7S RNA and homologues of the eukaryotic SRP19 and SRP54 proteins. Lineage: Bacteria; Bacillati; Bacillota; Clostridia; Eubacteriales; Clostridiaceae. RNAcentral also lists the same sequence under 4 other names. The record is from RNAcentral.